AGAGUUUGAUCAUGGCUCAGAUUGAACGCUGGCGGCAGGCCUAACACAUGCAAGUCGAACGGUAACAGGAAGCAGCUUGCUGCUUCGCUGACGAGUGGCGGACGGGUGAGUAAUGUCUGGGAAACUGCCUGAUAGAGGGGGAUAACUACUGGAAACGGUAGCUAAUACCGCAUAAUCUCUCAGGAGCAAAGCAGGGGAACUUCGGUCCUUGCGCUAUCGGAUGAACCCAUAUGGGGUUAGCUAGUAGGUGGGGUAAUGGCUCACCUAGGCGACGAUCCCUAGCUGGUCUGAGAGGAUGACCAGCCACACUGGAACUGAGACACGGUCCAGACUCCUACGGGAGGCAGCAGUGGGGAAUAUUGCACAAUGGGCGCAAGCCUGAUGCAGCCAUGCCGCGUGUAUGAAGAAGGCCUUCGGGUUGUAAAGUACUUUCAGCGAGGAGGAAGGCGUUAAGGUUAAUAACCUUGGCGAUUGACGUUACUCGCAGAAGAAGCACCGGCUAACUCCGUGCCAGCCGCCGCGGUAAUAC
RNAcentral lists this ribosomal RNA (529 nucleotides) under uncultured bacterium. Its description in RNAcentral is "bacterial SSU rRNA". It matches the Rfam family "Bacterial small subunit ribosomal RNA", at positions 8 to 526 of the family's 1533-position model. The record is from RNAcentral.